Non-coding RNA from Osmia lignaria (orchard mason bee), 302 nucleotides. NCBI's taxonomy places the organism in Eukaryota, Metazoa, Arthropoda, Insecta, Hymenoptera, Megachilidae. The record is from RefSeq and is a predicted model, not a curated record.
CUCGUUUUCUUCAUUUUCCAUCUCAAAUACAAACUGCCUCAUGAAGCUUUCGCGUACCUAAUUAGAUACGUAUAAAAAUGUCCAAAUAUUUUAUAUACAAAGUCUUCUAACAUUGGGGAUGCUUUAAUCAGCCUGACUACCCUAAGAACCUAAUUGGAAAACAACAUGAGCUGAAUGAAAACUAAUAUAGAAACCUGAAAAUAUGUGAAUCCAGAAAGAUAGAAGAACGGAAUGAUGUGAAUGGUUGUACCAAUUGCUAGUAACAGCUCGAAUUUGUGAAUCGAAUGCUUGUAAUAACUGCG